GUGCCCGUAGCUCAGUUGGAUAGAGCAACGGAUUUCUAAUCCGUCGGUCGCAGGUUCGAUUCCUGCCGGGCACA
This 74-nucleotide transfer RNA is filed under the name Candidatus Omnitrophota bacterium. Its description in RNAcentral is "tRNA-Arg". It matches the Rfam family "tRNA". Rfam says of the family: Transfer RNA (tRNA) molecules are approximately 80 nucleotides in length. Their secondary structure includes four short double-helical elements and three loops (D, anti-codon, and T loops). Lineage: Bacteria; Pseudomonadati; Candidatus Omnitrophota. The record is from RNAcentral.